GACCAGGCUCAAAACAUGAGUACAAUGCAAACUAUCAUUCAAAUGUUGGCAGCAAAAAAUGGGAUAGAUCUAGCAAACAUUCCGGGGUUAGUUCCAAGCAACAAUGCUGGUGAGGAUGCAUCGGGUGUAAGGGAGGAUGAAACUUCUCUUGGUUGAAAUAGAGGUUGGUGAUGGAUGUUCGUGGUUCAGUAGUGAUAUAUAUCGUUUUGCACGUUGGCAUUCAUUUAAUUUUUCUUUGUUUCGUUUUAUAGGUUUUUCUGUUGAAUGUUUAUAUACUUUUGGGAAUUAUUAUGUUUUGGAUUGUUGGAUAUAGUUAGACGCAUUUUAGGAUUCUUAUGUUUAGUUUUGUUGGAUAUUUGAAUAAAAUUUGGGAUAUUGAAAUGCAUUUGAUAUUAAUUUGGUUACA
Molecule: non-coding RNA, 406 nt
Organism: Camellia sinensis
Lineage: Eukaryota; Viridiplantae; Streptophyta; Magnoliopsida; Ericales; Theaceae
Source: RefSeq, a predicted model, not a curated record